CACGUAGGCGGAUCGGAAAGUUGGGGGUGAAAUCCCGGGGCUCAACCCCGGAACUGCCUUCAAAACUAUCGGUCUGGAGUUCGAGAGAGGUGAGUGGAAUUCCGAGUGUAGAGGUGAAAUUCGUAGAUAUUCGGAGGAACACCAGUGGCGAAGGCGGCUCACUGGCUCGAUACUAACGCUGAGGUGCGAAAGCGUGGGGAGCAAACA
Molecule: ribosomal RNA, 207 nt
Filed under: uncultured bacterium
Lineage: Bacteria
Description: partial 16S ribosomal RNA
Rfam family: Bacterial small subunit ribosomal RNA
Source: RNAcentral